RNAcentral lists this long non-coding RNA (327 nucleotides) under Elaeis guineensis (African oil palm). RNAcentral's name for it is "long non-coding RNA (EGUI_LNC074699)". The record is from RNAcentral. Lineage: Eukaryota; Viridiplantae; Streptophyta; Magnoliopsida; Arecales; Arecaceae.
CCAUCUCGAUGAUUAGGUCAACUCUUAACCUAAUCAGGUCAAACCCAAUUGAAUCCAAUUCAAUUGGACUUGAUCCAAAAAUAAUUACUCAAUCAAAUUGAGUUAAUUAGUGAUCAAAUUACUAAUUAAACCUUUCAUAAAUAUUGAGUUCAAAUCCGAUGGAUAAUCGGGCAUAAAAAUUUAUCGAUAUAUAACCCUGAUCGAAGAAUCCCAAACCAGUGGGACUCUUGACCUCGGUACCCAGUAUUAUAGAAAAUCUCUGAUCCCUAAGGGCAAAUCGACACGGUAAUGAUCAGGAACCUUCAAAUUAUGUUGGCAUCAAACAAG